RNAcentral lists this ribosomal RNA (468 nucleotides) under Klebsiella pneumoniae. RNAcentral's name for it is "bacterial SSU rRNA". It matches the Rfam family "Bacterial small subunit ribosomal RNA", at positions 80 to 543 of the family's 1533-position model. Lineage: Bacteria; Pseudomonadati; Pseudomonadota; Gammaproteobacteria; Enterobacterales; Enterobacteriaceae. The record is from RNAcentral.
GCUCUCGGGUGACGAGCGGCGGACGGGUGAGUAAUGUCUGGGAAACUGCCUGAUGGAGGGGGAUAACUACUGGAAACGGUAGCUAAUACCGCAUAAUGUCGCAAGACCAAAGUGGGGGACCUUCGGGCCUCAUGCCAUCAGAUGUGCCCAGAUGGGAUUAGCUAGUAGGUGGGGUAACGGCUCACCUAGGCGACGAUCCCUAGCUGGUCUGAGAGGAUGACCAGCCACACUGGAACUGAGACACGGUCCAGACUCCUACGGGAGGCAGCAGUGGGGAAUAUUGCACAAUGGGCGCAAGCCUGAUGCAGCCAUGCCGCGUGUGUGAAGAAGGCCUUCGGGUUGUAAAGCACUUUCAGCGGGGAGGAAGGCGAUAAGGUUAAUAACCUUGUCGAUUGACGUUACCCGCAGAAGAAGCACCGGCUAACUCCGUGCCAGCAGCCGCGGUAAUACGGAGGGUGCAAGCGUUAA